CAGCAUGUGUACUGCCGUUGCAAGCAUACCUUUAAAAGAACAAGUGUGCCACUAUAACUAAUAAUAAAACUCAUAUACAUCAGGUCAAAGUGCAGCUAAUAAGAAGGUGAUGAUGGGUUACAACCCCCAAAAAGACUAUCAACUAAGAAAUUAAAAAUCUUACGAAAGUGGACUUGGCCGUAAUUAAUUUACAAGUUAAAAAAAUGAAUAAUAACCUAAGACAUGCACACAUCGCCCGUCACUCUACCCUAAAGGGUGGAUAAGUCGUAACAAAGUAGGUGUAAUGGAAAUUGCACCUGUCGAAGUAUAGCAUAUAUAAUGCUUUUUACUUACACUAAAAACAAAGUUAAAUAACUUACUUCGCUCAUAUAACAAAAUCUUAAAAAUAAACAAAUAAUAGAAACAACUAAAUAAAUUCAAUAAACAAUAAAGUACAGAAAUGGAAAAUAUAAUAAAUAAAAGUAAAUUUUAAAAACUGUACCUUGUGCAUUAUGGUUUUACAAGAAAAUAGUUAAAGACAGUAAUCCCGAAUUCUAAAUGAGAUGUUAAACUGCUGUUAUGAACCCACUAAUAUCUGUAGAACAAGAUUUAAAAGACAGUUUAACAGAGGCUACAUACCAUCCGCAUAAGAAUAUAGCUGGUUUUCAACGAAUAUUAUACAUUAAAACAUAUAACAACAUUAUAAUGUAAAAUUAUUGAGGAUAAGCCCAAUAAUUUUAGCAAUAGACACAAUAAAUCACUUUACUACCGUAGGCCUAAAAUCAGCCAACUAAAGUACUUUAUCGUAAUAUACAAUGAUAAAAUAUAUAACAUACACAUGCUAAAUAAAGUUGAAAUAGUGGACUAACGAUCCUACCCCACUUACACUAUGUAAAAAUAAGUAUUAUAAAUAAAUAACAAUAAUAAACUAGUAACUCUCAACACAUAAACAAUAAUAAUUAAUUAAGGAACUCGGCAAAAUAUUAUUUCGACUGUUUAAC
RNAcentral lists this ribosomal RNA (980 nucleotides) under Amynthas sp. HK201601-04. RNAcentral's name for it is "partial small subunit ribosomal RNA". The stretch from base 1 to 310 matches the Rfam family "Archaeal small subunit ribosomal RNA", at positions 983 to 1478 of the family's 1478-position model. The record is from RNAcentral. Lineage: Eukaryota; Metazoa; Annelida; Clitellata; Crassiclitellata; Megascolecidae.